AGUGAACGCUGGCGGUAGGCCUAACACAUGCAAGUCGAACGGCAGCACAGGAGAGCUUGCUCUCUGGGUGGCGAGUGGCGGACGGGUGAGGAAUACAUCGGAAUCUACUCUGUCGUGGGGGAUAACGUAGGGAAACUUACGCUAAUACCGCAUACGACCUACGGGUGAAAGCAGGGGACCUUCGGGCCUUGCGCGAUUGAAUGAGCCGAUGUCGGAUUAGCUAGUUGGCGGGGUAAAGGCCCACCAAGGCGACGAUCCGUAGCUGGUCUGAGAGGAUGAUCAGCCACAGUUGAACUUAUACACAGUCCAGACUCCUACGGGAGGCAGCAGUGGGGAAUAUUGGAGAAUGGGCGCAAGCCUGAUCCUGCCAUACCGCGUGGGUGAAGAAGGCCUUCGGGUUGUAAAGCCCUUUUGUUGGGAAAGAAAUCCAGCUGGCUAAUACCCGGUUGGGAUGACGGUACCCAAAGAAUAAGCACCGGCUAACUUCGUGCCAGCCGCCGCCGUAA
This 506-nucleotide ribosomal RNA is filed under the name uncultured bacterium. RNAcentral describes it as "partial 16S ribosomal RNA". It matches the Rfam family "Bacterial small subunit ribosomal RNA", at positions 29 to 523 of the family's 1533-position model. The record is from RNAcentral.